ACAGAGGUCUCAAACGUUGUUCGGAAUCACUGGGCGUAAAGGGCGCGUAGGCGGCCAACUAAGUCACACGUGAAAUCCCCAGGCUUAACCUGGGAACUGCGUCGGAUACUGGAUGGCUUGAAUUCGGGAGAGGGAUGCAGAAUUCCAGGUGUAGCGGUGAAAUGCGUAGAUAUCUGGAGGAAUACCGGUGGCGAAGGCGGCAUCCUGGACCGACAUUGACGCUGAAAACCGAAAGCUAGGGGAGCAAACGGGA
RNAcentral lists this ribosomal RNA (253 nucleotides) under uncultured prokaryote. RNAcentral describes it as "partial 16S ribosomal RNA". It matches the Rfam family "Bacterial small subunit ribosomal RNA", at positions 525 to 777 of the family's 1533-position model. The record is from RNAcentral.